RNAcentral lists this ribosomal RNA (253 nucleotides) under uncultured bacterium. RNAcentral's name for it is "partial 16S ribosomal RNA". It matches the Rfam family "Bacterial small subunit ribosomal RNA", at positions 524 to 776 of the family's 1533-position model. The record is from RNAcentral.
UACGGGGGGGGCAAGCGUUGUUCGGAAUUACUGGGCGUAAAGGGCGCGUAGGCGGUUUGCUAAAUCGAAUGUGAAAACUCUGGGCUUAACCCAGAGCCUGCAUUCGAUACUGGCAGGCUAGAGUUCUGGAGGGGAUAGCGGAAUUCCUGGUGUAGCGGUGAAAUGCGUAGAUAUCAGGAGGAACACCGGUGGCGAAGGCGGCUAUCUGGACAGAGUCUGACGCUGAGGCGCGAAAGCUAGGGGAGCAAACAGG